GACGUAGGGGGCGAGCGUUGUCCGGAUUCAUUGGGCGUAAAGCGCGCGCAGGCGGCCCGGUAAGUCGGAUGUGAAAUCCCACGGCUCAACCGUGGAACUGCAUUCGAUACUGUCGGGCUAGAGGCAGGUAGGGGAGAUCGGAAUUCCUGGUGUAGCGGUGAAAUGCGCAGAUAUCAGGAGGAACACCGGUGGCGAAGGCGGAUCUCUGGGCCUGUCCUGACGCUCGGGCGCGAAGGCCAGGGGAGCAAACGGG
This 253-nucleotide ribosomal RNA is filed under the name uncultured bacterium. RNAcentral describes it as "partial 16S ribosomal RNA". It matches the Rfam family "Bacterial small subunit ribosomal RNA", at positions 524 to 776 of the family's 1533-position model. The record is from RNAcentral.